CCUACGGGUGGCAGCAGUGGGGAAUUUUGGACAAUGGGGGCAACCCUGAUCCAGCAAUGCCGCGUGUGUGAAGAAGGCCUUCGGGUUGUAAAGCACUUUUGUCCGGAAAGAAAACUUCGUCCCUAAUAUGGAUGGAGGAUGACGGUACCGGAAGAAUAAGCACCGGCUAACUACGUGCCAGCAGCCGCGGUAAUACGUAGGGUGCGAGCGUUAAUCGGAAUUACUGGGCGUAAAGCGUGCGCAGGCGGUUCGCUAAGACCGAUGUGAAAUCCCCGGGCUUAACCUGGGAACUGCAUUGGUGACUGGCGGGCUAGAGUAUGGCAGAGGGGGGUAGAAUUCCACGUGUAGCAGUGAAAUGCGUAGAGAUGUGGAGGAAUACCGAUGGCGAAGGCAGCCCCCUAGGCCAAUACUGACGCUCAUGCACGAAAGCGUGGGGAGCAAACAGGAUUAGAUACCCUUGUAGUC
This 465-nucleotide ribosomal RNA is filed under the name uncultured Burkholderia sp. RNAcentral's name for it is "bacterial SSU rRNA". It matches the Rfam family "Bacterial small subunit ribosomal RNA", at positions 338 to 795 of the family's 1533-position model. Lineage: Bacteria; Pseudomonadati; Pseudomonadota; Betaproteobacteria; Burkholderiales; Burkholderiaceae. The record is from RNAcentral.